RNAcentral lists this ribosomal RNA (368 nucleotides) under uncultured phototrophic eukaryote. RNAcentral describes it as "SSU rRNA". It matches the Rfam family "Bacterial small subunit ribosomal RNA", at positions 524 to 896 of the family's 1533-position model. The record is from RNAcentral.
UACGGGGGAUGCAAGUGUUAUCCGGAAUUAUUGGGCGUAAAGCGUCUGUAGGUGGUUUAAUAAGUCUAUUGUUAAAGCUUGAAACUUAACUUCAGAGAUGCAGUAGAAACUGUUAAACUAGAGUAUAAUUGAGGUAGAAGGAAUUUCCAGUGGAGUGGUGAAAUGCGUAGAUAUUGGAAAGAACACCAAUUGCGAAGGCAUUCUAUUAAAUUAUUCUGACACUCAGAGACGAAAGCUAGGGUAGCAAAUGGGAUUAGAUACCCCAGUAGUCCUAGCCGUAAACGAUGGAUACUAUAUAUUAGACGUUCGCCGUAGUAUUAAAGCUAACGCGUUAAGUAUCCCGCCUGGGGAGUAUGCUCGCAAGAGUG